Molecule: transfer RNA, 94 nt
Filed under: Verrucomicrobiota bacterium
Lineage: Bacteria; Pseudomonadati; Verrucomicrobiota
Description: Verrucomicrobia bacterium (freshwater metagenome) tRNA-OTHER
Source: RNAcentral
GCACUCGUCGCUGAAUGCUCAGUUGGUUAGAGCAUUCUGCCGUCCGGCAGAAUGGAUCUGGGGGUCGCGGGUUCAAAUCCCGUCGGUCGCCCCA